GACGAACGCUGGCGGCGUGCCUAAUACAUGCAAGUCGAACGCUGAAGAGAGGAGCUUGCUCUUCUUGGAUGAGUUGCGAACGGGUGAGUAACGCGUAGGUAACCUGCCUGGUAGCGGGGGAUAACUAUUGGAAACGAUAGCUAAUACCGCAUAAAAUUGAUUAUUGCAUGAUACUUAAUUGAAAGAUGCAACUGCAUCACUACCAGAUGGACCUGCGUUGUAUUAGCUAGUUGGUGAGGUAACGGCUCACCAAGGCGACGAUACAUAGCCGACCUGAGAGGGUGAUCGGCCACACUGGGACUGAGACACGGCCCAGACUCCUACGGGAGGCAGCAGUAGGGAAUCUUCGGCAAUGGGGGGAACCCUGACCGAGCAACGCCGCGUGAGUGAAGAAGGUUUUCGGAUCGUAAAGCUCUGUUGUAAGAGAAGAACGGGUGUGAGAGUGGAAAGUUCACACUGUGACGGUAGCUUACCAGAAAGGGACGGCUAACUACGUG
RNAcentral lists this ribosomal RNA (497 nucleotides) under uncultured bacterium. Its description in RNAcentral is "partial 16S ribosomal RNA". It matches the Rfam family "Bacterial small subunit ribosomal RNA", at positions 28 to 507 of the family's 1533-position model. The record is from RNAcentral.